Molecule: ribosomal RNA, 119 nt
Filed under: Pteropus alecto (black flying fox)
Lineage: Eukaryota; Metazoa; Chordata; Mammalia; Chiroptera; Pteropodidae
Source: RNAcentral
GUCUAUGGCCAUGUCAUCCUGAACGUGCCCGAUCUCGUCUGAUCUCGGAAGCUAAGCAGGGUCAGGCCUAGUUAGCACUUGGAUGGGAGACCACUUAGGAAUACCAGAUGCUGUAGGCA